GCUGGAAUUGCUAGUAAUGGCAGGUCAGCAUACUGCCGUGAAUAACGUUCCCGGGGCCCUUGUACACACCGCCCGUCACACCAUGAGAGUUGGAAAUACCCGAAGCCUGUGAGCUAACUUUUAGAGGCAGCAGUCGAAGGUAGAGCCAAUGAUUGGGGUGAAGUCGUAACAAGGUAUC
RNAcentral lists this ribosomal RNA (178 nucleotides) under uncultured bacterium. RNAcentral describes it as "partial 16S ribosomal RNA". It matches the Rfam family "Bacterial small subunit ribosomal RNA", at positions 1325 to 1500 of the family's 1533-position model. The record is from RNAcentral.